Choloepus didactylus (southern two-toed sloth) is the source of this 105-nucleotide small nucleolar RNA. RefSeq annotates it as small nucleolar RNA SNORD124. Lineage: Eukaryota; Metazoa; Chordata; Mammalia; Pilosa; Megalonychidae. The record is from RefSeq and is a predicted model, not a curated record. The transcript has a single exon.
UGAUUCCAAGGAAGGGAUGAUGUUCCAAUUGAGUCCCAAGAAAAGGAUCCUGAGUCUCAUCACUUUGAAGUAGCCAAGUUGGUCCCUGACCUUCCUUGAUAAGAA